This 565-nucleotide ribosomal RNA is filed under the name Blastococcus sp. 337G01. Its description in RNAcentral is "bacterial SSU rRNA". It matches the Rfam family "Bacterial small subunit ribosomal RNA", at positions 93 to 671 of the family's 1533-position model. The record is from RNAcentral. Lineage: Bacteria; Bacillati; Actinomycetota; Actinomycetes; Geodermatophilales; Geodermatophilaceae.
CAGUGGCGAACGGGUGAGUAACACGUGGGCAACCUGCCCUCAGCUCUGGGAUAACUCCAAGAAAUUGGGGCUAAUACCGGAUAUGACUGCUGACCGCAUGGUCUGGUGGUGGAAAGAUUUAUCGGCUGGGGAUGGGCCCGCGGCCUAUCAGCUUGUUGGUGGGGUAGUGGCCUACCAAGGCGACGACGGGUAGCCGGCCUGAGAGGGUGACCGGCCACACUGGGACUGAGACACGGCCCAGACUCCUACGGGAGGCAGCAGUGGGGAAUAUUGCGCAAUGGGCGGAAGCCUGACGCAGCGACGCCGCGUGGGGGAUGACGGCCUUCGGGUUGUAAACCUCUUUCACCCAUGACGAAGCGAAAGUGACGGUAGUGGGAGAAGAAGCACCGGCCAACUACGUGCCAGCAGCCGCGGUAAUACGUAGGGUGCAAGCGUUGUCCGGAAUUAUUGGGCGUAAAGAGCUCGUAGGCGGUUUGUUGCGUCGGCUGUGAAAACCUGAGGCUCAACCUCAGGCCUGCAGUCGAUACGAGCAGACUAGAGUGUUGCAGGGGAGACUGGAAUUCCU